This 468-nucleotide ribosomal RNA is filed under the name uncultured bacterium. RNAcentral describes it as "partial 16S ribosomal RNA". It matches the Rfam family "Bacterial small subunit ribosomal RNA", at positions 28 to 507 of the family's 1533-position model. The record is from RNAcentral.
GACGAACGCUGGCGGCGUGCUUAGCACAUGCAAGUCGAACGGAAAGGCCCUGCUUUUGUGGGGUGCUCGAGUGGCGAACGGGUGAGUAACACGUGAGUAACCUGCCCUUGACUUUGGGAUAACUUCAGGAAACUGGGGCUAAUACCGGAUAGGAGCUCCUGCUGCAUGGUGGGGGUUGGAAAGUUUCGGCGGUUGGGGAUGGACUCGCGGCUUAUCAGCUUGUUGGUGGGGUAGUGGCUUACCAAGGCUUUGACGGGUAGCCGGCCUGAGAGGGUGACCGGCCACAUUGGGACUGAGAUACGGCCCAGACUCCUACGGGAGGCAGCAGUGGGGAAUAUUGCACAAUGGGCGGAAGCCUGAUGCAGCAACGCCGCGUGCGGGAUGACGGCCUUCGGGUUGUAAGCCGCUUUCGCCUGUGACGAAGCGUGAGUGACGGUAAUGGGUAAAGAAGCACCGGCUAACUACGUG